Molecule: ribosomal RNA, 472 nt
Filed under: uncultured bacterium
Lineage: Bacteria
Description: partial 16S ribosomal RNA
Rfam family: Bacterial small subunit ribosomal RNA
Source: RNAcentral
GACGAACGCUGGCGGCGUGCUUAACACAUGCAAGUCGAACGCUGAAGCUUGGUGCUUGCACUGGGUGGAUGAGUGGCGAACGGGUGAGUAAUACGUGAGUAACCUGCCCUUGACUCUGGGAUAAGCCUGGGAAACUGGGUCUAAUACUGGAUACGACAUGUCACCGCAUGGUGGUGUGUGGAAAGGGAUUUACUGGUUUUGGAUGGGCUCACGGCCUAUCAGCUUGUUGGUGGGGUAAUGGCUCACCAAGGCGACGACGGGUAGCCGGCCUGAGAGGGUGACCGGCCACACUGGGACUGAGACACGGCCCAGACUCCUACGGGAGGCAGCAGUGGGGAAUAUUGCACAAUGGGCGGAAGCCUGAUGCAGCGACGCCGCGUGAGGGAUGACGGCCUUCGGGUUGUAAACCUCUUUCAGCGCGGAAGAAGCGAAAGUGACGGUACGUGCAGAAGAAGCGCCGGCUAACUACGUG